CUCUGCACUUGCGGGCACGUCGUACUGAAGCACGAGAAGUUCUCGUCGAAUUCGACUCAUCUUCUACAUCGGGAAGCAAUCUGUGUCAAUCCAUCCUUACUAGGCGUAUUGAGACCGCUCAAUUCGUGGGCUUACCCUUCGACAAAAGGUCGGUAAGAAAGGAUCAUUAACCCUAGAAUAGCAAAGGAUGAGCUCUUGGUAAACUAAUUUGGCCUUCUUUAUGGCUGAUGCUGAAGUUUCAUCAGUUUGAUCGUUUUGGAUCGAAGAAUUUAUAGAAAAUUCGCCGGUUGUCUCAAUCUCCGGCAUUUAAAUCAGAAAUCUAGGUUUGGCAUAUUCUCUAGGUGUCGGUGAUUGGAUCAUUUUUCUUGUUCAAAACCCUAGGAUCUUCUUUCUACUUCUGAAAGAAAACCCUUUAUUUGUUUGUUCGUAUCUCUUGAUUGCUAGUUGGUUGCAAUCUCUAUUUCACCCGAAAAGUUGGUAUUUUUCUACCAAAAGCUACCACCUUCCUUAUUGAGUUGGUUACUGUGAUGGGUUGGACGUGAUGAUUAGAAAUGAUGCAGGUAUCGACUGGGACCAUAGCAAGUGGGAGCAACUUCUCUAUUUGAACUGCUUCAAUGUCCAAAAAAGGGUUUCAGAAGCUAGAGUGUUUGAAUUUAUUGUCUAGACGCACUGAUGAUAGUGUGUUGGCUGUUUUGAAAGAAGUGGGGCCGGUAAUUAUUGGUUUUGGUUGCCUUAGAUUUGUUGAAGCUGGUUAUUUCGAGAAACUGAGCUGCCCAAGCAGUUGGGUGUUUUUUUGGGAUUUUCAGGAGAGUCAGGCAUAUGUUUGUUGAUUUGGGGUCAUACCUGUGCUUGUUUCAUUAAUAAAGGAGGGUAAUUCCUCAGUAAUGCUCUCAUGAUAAUUUCUAGUUUUGUUUACUACCUUAGACCUGUAGCUCAAGCUGGUGCAAUCCUGUUGUAUGUGGAGCUGCACAAAGGACCUGAACCCCUUGGAAAAGAAAUUGCUGAAUAUGUUUUUUGUGUAUCGGCUCUAGAGAGGAGAAUGCUGUGAUGUAUCAGAAGAGAUGGUGAGGAUUCUUGAGGCUGAUGCCGAGAAGGCAAAAGCUGCAGCUUCAUAUGUUCUGUGGGAUCUUUCAAGGUACAGUCCAUUUCUGUUUUCAAAUAAUUGGGUGUAAUUCCAGUUCUGGUUGAGCUUUCCCAGAAUACAGAUGGUGAUCUUAGGGAGAAGCCAUCUCGUGCUACUACAUGACUAAACUAUUAUGCAGCAAACAGGGAUACCAUCUUGUUAGCUGGUGCAAUUCCUGUUCUUAUUGAUCUCUUGAGUGGUGAGCUGGAUGAGGAAGAAUGCUCUGUUUGUUAAGAAACAAGUAUGGUGGUGAUCUAUGGAAUUAAUAAGUAAAUACUUCGGAGGGUCUGCUCUAAAUCAAGCUGCCAAUAGUUUGCUGCAAGUAUGAAAGCUUUGCUUGUUCUCGAAUCUUCAGCACAGGGAUGGGACAUGAAAAUGAGUUCUUCAAACCAAGUUUUGUGGUGAAAAACUUGCAAUGAGGAUUAAAGGAGGGCUUCUUGCAGGGAGGGAGGCUUCUGCUUUGGAACUAUACAAGUUGGAAUCUGGAAGUCCUAAAAGUAACUGGCAGCUGAUAUCCGACAUCAAGAGACGAACCAAUACAACAGGAUUAGGAGAAGAAGACAUGUUAUGCAUCAUGUCAGGCCCCAUCAAAGAUGCAGAUGGUUCAAGUGUCAUGUAAGAGAUCUGUUCUUAUAUGCAGAAAUCUUUCUCGUUUCUUUCUGCAAGACUGGCCAAACAGAAGGAAUCUCCUUAAAAGAAUUCGACGGUUCAUGAGCUAACAACGAUACAGCAAUCCAUCCUUGUGCUGGUUGUGACUCCAUGGUCAGCAGUUGGUGCAGCUUUCAUGAUCAACAGUAUCACCACCACCAGGAACAUCAAGGACAGCAAGAACGACAGCGUGCACUUGCAGCUCUUAGUGGGUCGCCCAGGCUCAAUAUCUACCGUGGAGAUGUAGACAGUUUGUGAGACUGCAAUAAUGCACUGAGCCAUGCAUACCUUGUCGAAUUCAUGGAUGAAGUUUUCUUUGGAUGUAGCUAAUGGCUGGACUCUGUUCGACAUCGCUGCUUUUCACGACUGAAACAUGCAGUCAGUUCAACAUUAUUGUGGGCUUCUAUUUGUUCCACUCUGCUGUGUCUGAUCCAUGCAUGAAAGAAGUUAUGCUUUUACAUAUGUCCUUGGAAAGUGUGGAAAUUUUUAAUAUA
This is a non-coding RNA of Musa acuminata subsp. malaccensis (wild Malaysian banana), 2265 nucleotides long. The record is from RefSeq and is a predicted model, not a curated record. NCBI's taxonomy places the organism in Eukaryota, Viridiplantae, Streptophyta, Magnoliopsida, Zingiberales, Musaceae.